This 451-nucleotide ribosomal RNA is filed under the name uncultured bacterium. RNAcentral's name for it is "SSU rRNA". It matches the Rfam family "Bacterial small subunit ribosomal RNA", at positions 26 to 518 of the family's 1533-position model. The record is from RNAcentral.
AGGAUGAACGCUGGCGGCGUGCCUAAAACAUGCAAGUCAUACGGUCUACCUUCGGGUAGACAGUGGCAAACGGGUGAGUAACACGUGGGAACACGCCUUCGAGUGGGGAAUAACGCUGAGAAAUCAGUGCUAAUACCGCAUAUGGUCUAACGACUAAAGCAGCAAUGCGCUCGGAGAGUGGCCCGCGUCCGAUUAGCUAGUUGGUGGGGUAAUGGCCUACCAAGGCGGUGAUCGGUAGCUGGUCUGAGAGGAUGGUCAGCCACACUGGGACUGCGAACGGCCCAGACUCCUACGGGAGGCAGCAGUUAGGAAUUUUCGGCAAUGGACGAAAGUCUGACCGAGCGACGCCGCGUGGAGGACGAAGCCUUUCGGGGUGUAAACUCCUUUUCUGCGGGAAGAUAAUGACGGUACCGCAGGAAUAAGCACCGGCUAACUACGUGCCAGCAGCCGC